UAACCCGGGGAAACUCGGGCUAAUACCGCAUACGCUCUACGGCGGAAAGCUGGGGACCUUAGGGCCUGGCGCUUUUAGAUGAGCCUGCGUCAGAUUAGCUAGUUGGUGGGGUAAAGGCCUACCAAGGCGACGAUCUGUAGCUGAUUUGAGAGGAUGAUCAGCCACACUGGGACUGAGACACGGCCCAGACUCCUACGGGAGGCAGCAGUGGGGAAUUUUGGACAAUGGGCGAAAGCCUGAUCCAGCAAUGCCGCGUGUGCGAUGACGGCCUUCGGGUUGUAAAGCACUUUCA
This 292-nucleotide ribosomal RNA is filed under the name uncultured Gammaproteobacteria bacterium. Its description in RNAcentral is "partial 16S ribosomal RNA". It matches the Rfam family "Bacterial small subunit ribosomal RNA", at positions 144 to 438 of the family's 1533-position model. The record is from RNAcentral. Lineage: Bacteria; Pseudomonadati; Pseudomonadota; Gammaproteobacteria.